GACGAACGCUGGCGGCGUGCUUAACACAUGCAAGUCGAACGGAAAGGCCCUGCUUUUGUGGGGUGCUCGAGUGGCGAACGGGUGAGUAACACGUGAGUAACCUGCCCUUGACUUUGGGAUAACUUCAGGAAACUGGGGCUAAUACCGGAUAGGAGCUCCUGCUGCAUGGUGGGGGUUGGAAAGUUUCGGCGGUUGGGGAUGGACUCGCGGCUUAUCAGCUUGUUGGUGGGGUAGUGGCUUACCAAGGCUUUGACGGGUAGCCGGCCUGAGAUGGUGACCGGCCACAUUGGGACUGAGAUACGGCCCAGACUCCUACGGGAGGCAGCAGUGCGGAAUAUUGCACAAUGGGCGGAAGCCUGAUGCAGCAACGCCGCGUGCGGGAUGACGGCCUUCGGGUUGUAAACCGCUUUCGCCUGUGACGAAGCGUGAGUGACGGUAAUGGGUAAAGAAGCACCGGCUAACUACGUG
Molecule: ribosomal RNA, 468 nt
Filed under: uncultured bacterium
Lineage: Bacteria
Description: partial 16S ribosomal RNA
Rfam family: Bacterial small subunit ribosomal RNA
Source: RNAcentral